RNAcentral lists this ribosomal RNA (468 nucleotides) under uncultured bacterium. Its description in RNAcentral is "partial 16S ribosomal RNA". It matches the Rfam family "Bacterial small subunit ribosomal RNA", at positions 28 to 507 of the family's 1533-position model. The record is from RNAcentral.
GACGAACGCUGGCGGCGUGCUUAACACAUGCAAGUCGAACGGCAAGGCCCUGCUUUUGUGGGGUGCUCGAGUGGCGAACGGGUGAGUAACACGUGAGUAACCUGCCCUUGACUUUGGGAUAACUUCAGGAAACUGGGGCUAAUACCGGAUAGGAGCUCCUGCUGCAUGGUGGGGGGUGGAAAGUUUCGGCGGUUGGGGAUGGACUCGCGGCUUAUCAGCUUGUUGGUGGGGUAGUGGCUUACCAAGGCUUUGACGGGUAGCCGGCCUGUGAGGGUGACCGGCCACAAUGGGACUGAGAUACGGCCCAGACUCCUACGUGAGGCAGCAGUGGGGAAUAUUGCACAAUGGGCGGAAGCCUGAUGCAGCAACGCCGCGUGCGGGAUGACGGCCUUCGGGUUGUAAACCGCUUUCGCCUGUGACGAAGCGUGAGUGACGGUAAUGGGUAAAGAAGCACCGGCUAACUACGUG